GAUGAACGCUAGCUACAGGCUUAGCACAUGCAAGUCGAGGGGCAGCAUGGUCUUAGCUUGCUAAGGCCGAUGGCGACCGGCGCACGGGUGAGUAACACGUAUCCAACCUGCCGUCUACUCUUGGACAGCCUUCUGAAAGGAAGAUUAAUACAAGAUGGCAUCAUGAGUUCACAUGUUCACAUGAUUAAAGGUAUUCCGGUAGACGAUGGGGAUGCGUUCCAUUAGAUAGUAGGCGGGGUAACGGCCCACCUAGUCUUCGAUGGAUAGGGGUUCUGAGAGGAAGGUCCCCCACAUUGGAACUGCGACACGGUCCAAACUCCUACGGGAGGCAGCAGUGAGGAAUAUUGGUCAAUGGGCGAGAGCCUGAACCAGCCAAGUAGCGUGAAGGAUGACUGCCCUAUGGGUUGUAAACUUCUUUUAUAAAGGAAUAAAGUCGGGUAUGUAUACCCGUUUGCAUGUACUUUAUGAAUAAGGAUCGGCUAACUCCGUG
RNAcentral lists this ribosomal RNA (490 nucleotides) under uncultured bacterium. RNAcentral describes it as "partial 16S ribosomal RNA". It matches the Rfam family "Bacterial small subunit ribosomal RNA", at positions 28 to 507 of the family's 1533-position model. The record is from RNAcentral.